RNAcentral lists this ribosomal RNA (763 nucleotides) under Lophiostoma sp. MFLUCC 13-0351. RNAcentral's name for it is "SSU rRNA". It matches the Rfam family "Eukaryotic small subunit ribosomal RNA", at positions 62 to 835 of the family's 1831-position model. Lineage: Eukaryota; Fungi; Ascomycota; Dothideomycetes; Pleosporales; Lophiostomataceae. The record is from RNAcentral.
AGUAUAAGCAAUUAUACCGUGAAACUGCGAAUGGCUCAUUAAAUCAGUUAUCGUUUAUUUGAUAGUACCUUACUACUUGGAUAACCGUGGUAAUUCUAGAGCUAAUACAUGCUGAAAACCCUGACUUCGGAAAGGGUGUAUUUAUUAGAUAAAAAACCAAUGCCCUUUGGGCUCUUUGGUGAUUCAUGAUAACUUAACGGAUCGCAUGGCCUUGCGCCGGCGACGGUUCAUUCAAAUUUCUGCCCUAUCAAUCUUUCGAUGGUAAGGUAUUGGCUUACCAUGGUUUCAACGGGUAACGGGGAAUUAGGGUUCGAUUCCGGAGAGGGAGCCUGAGAAACGGCUACCACAUCCAAGGAAGGCAGCAGGCGCGCAAAUUACCCAAUCCCGACACGGGGAGGUAGUGACAAUAAAUACUGAUACAGGGCUCUUUAGGGUCUUGUAAUCGGAAUGAGUACAAUUUAAACCUCUUAACGAGGAACAAUUGGAGGGCAAGUCUGGUGCCAGCAGCCGCGGUAAUUCCAGCUCCAAUAGCGUUAUAUUAAAGUUGUUGCAGUUAAAAAGCUCGUAGUUGAAUCUUGGGCCUGGCUGGCCGGUCCGCCUCACCGCGUGUACUGGUCUGGCCGGGCCUUUCCUUCUGGAGAACCUCAUGCCCUUCAGUGGGUGUGUUGGGGAACCAGGACUUUUACUUUGAAAAAAUUAGAGUGUUCAAAGCAGGCCUUUGCUCGAAUACGUUAGCAUGGAAUAAUAGAAUAGGACGUGCGGU